UACGUAUGGUGCAAGCGUUAUCCGGAUUUACUGGGUGUAAAGGGAGCGCAGGCGGCACGGCAAGCCUGAUGUGAAAGCCCGCGGCCCAACCGCGGGACUGCAUUGGGAACUACCGGGCUGGAGUGCCGGAGAGGUAGGUGGAAUUCCUAGUGUAGCGGUGAAAUGCGUAGAUAUUAGGAGGAACACCAGUGGCGAAGGCGGCCUACUGGACGGUGACUGACGCUGAGGCUCGAAAGCGUGGGGAGCAAACAGG
RNAcentral lists this ribosomal RNA (253 nucleotides) under uncultured bacterium. Its description in RNAcentral is "partial 16S ribosomal RNA". It matches the Rfam family "Bacterial small subunit ribosomal RNA", at positions 524 to 776 of the family's 1533-position model. The record is from RNAcentral.